Molecule: ribosomal RNA, 425 nt
Filed under: uncultured bacterium
Lineage: Bacteria
Description: partial 16S ribosomal RNA
Rfam family: Bacterial small subunit ribosomal RNA
Source: RNAcentral
GUGAGGAAUUUUGCGCAAUGGGGGCAACCCUGACGCAGCGACGCCGCGUGGAGGAUGAAGUCUUUCGGGAUGUAAACUCCUGUCAGUGGGGACGAUAAUGACGGUACCCACAGAGGAAGCACCGGCUAACUCCGUGCCAGCAGCCGCGGUAAGACGGAGGGUGCAAGCGUUGUUCGGAAUUACUGGGCGUAAAGCGUACGUAGGCGGCAAGUUAAGUUCAAUGUUAAAGCCCACGGCUCAACCGAGGAGAUGCAUUGAAUACUGGCUAGCUAGAGGGUGUUAGAGGAAGACGGAAUUCCCAGUGUAGCGGUGAAAUGCGUAGAUAUUGGGAGGAACAUCGGUAGCGAAAGCGGUCUUCUGGGACACACCUGACGCUGAGGUACGAAAGCGUGGGGAGCAAACGGGAUUAGAUACCCGUGUAGUCC